ACUCGUAGACUCCUACGGGAGGCAGCAGGUGGGAAUAUUCACGANGGCGACNCUGAUGCAGCCAUGCCGCGUGUGUGAAGAAGGCCUUCGGGUUGUAAAGCACUUUCAGUCGUGAGGAAGGUAGUGUAGUUAAUAGCUGCAUUAUUUGACGUUAGCGACAGAAGAAGCACCGGCUAACUCCGUGCCAGCAGCCGCGGUAAUACGGAGGGUGCGAGCGUUAAUCGGAAUUACUGGGCGUAAAGCGCAUGCAGGUGGUUUGUUAAGUCAGAUGUGAAAGCCCGGGGCUCAACCUCGGAAUUGCAUUUGAAACUGGCAGACUAGAGUACUGUAGAGGGGGGUAGAAUUUCAGGUGUAGCGGUGAAAUGCGUAGAGAUCUGAAGGAAUACCGGUGGCGAAGGCGGCCCCCUGGACAGAUACUGACACUCAGAUGCGAAAGCGUGGGGAGCAAACAGGAUUAGAUACCCUGGUAG
This 470-nucleotide ribosomal RNA is filed under the name uncultured bacterium. RNAcentral's name for it is "bacterial SSU rRNA". It matches the Rfam family "Bacterial small subunit ribosomal RNA", at positions 327 to 793 of the family's 1533-position model. The record is from RNAcentral.